UCUAAUAUGGCAGACUAGUGCAAUGAAUUUAAGAUUCAUUUAUAAAUUUUUUUUUGUUAGAA
RNAcentral lists this transfer RNA (62 nucleotides) under Bothrogonia shuana. Its description in RNAcentral is "tRNA-Leu". The record is from RNAcentral. Lineage: Eukaryota; Metazoa; Arthropoda; Insecta; Hemiptera; Cicadellidae.